GGGAGUAGUCUCUUUCCCGCCGACGGGGCGUUUCGCGCCUCUUCGCGCAUGCAAUGAAAGGUUUGCGUCAACACCUUUGGCCAUCCCGGCCAUGGCGCAAACAGCCUCCGGGCCUGACGAGACUCAGAACACCCGCUUCCGGUGCCGGCAGCGAGGUGUUCUGACCGUGACUCGCCGGCGCCGUG
Molecule: small RNA, 185 nt
Filed under: Chromohalobacter israelensis
Lineage: Bacteria; Pseudomonadati; Pseudomonadota; Gammaproteobacteria; Oceanospirillales; Halomonadaceae
Description: Chromohalobacter salexigens Manganese sequence
Rfam family: Manganese Mn2+ riboswitch aptamer (yybP-ykoY)
About the family: This RNA was originally discovered in E. coli during a large scale screen and was named SraF. The family was later found to exist upstream of related families of protein genes in many bacteria, including the the yybP and ykoK genes in B. subtilis.
Source: RNAcentral